CGAGCGGGCCGUGACUGGCGCGCUGGGAUGGGACGGACCAUCGGGGAGCGGCCCGAGCGGUAAAACAGUGCCGUGCGCCUGGGCCGAACGU
This 91-nucleotide non-coding RNA is filed under the name Streptomyces cellostaticus. RNAcentral's name for it is "ZTP sequence". It matches the Rfam family "ZMP/ZTP riboswitch aptamer (pfl RNA motif)". From Rfam's summary of the family: Previously known as pfl RNA. The record is from Rfam by way of RNAcentral. Lineage: Bacteria; Bacillati; Actinomycetota; Actinomycetes; Kitasatosporales; Streptomycetaceae.